RNAcentral lists this ribosomal RNA (1461 nucleotides) under Triticum aestivum (bread wheat). RNAcentral describes it as "partial small subunit ribosomal RNA". Lineage: Eukaryota; Viridiplantae; Streptophyta; Magnoliopsida; Poales; Poaceae. The record is from RNAcentral.
AUGGAUAAUUUGGCCAUAGUCGUGGCACUCGUUGUCGCCGCCUCGUCCAUUGCCAUCCACCUCCUCACCAGGGCCAGGAAAAGACGGCCGGCCAACCUGCCCCCGGGCUCCCUCGGCCUGCCGGUGAUCGGCCAGAGCCUCGGCCUCCUCCGUGCCAUGCGCGGCGGCGACGGCGGCAGCCGGUGGGUACAGGACCGGAUCGACAUGUACGGGCCCGUGUCGAAGCUGUCGCUGUUCGGCACGCCGACGGUGCUCCUGGCCGGACCGGCGGCCAACAAGUUCCUCUUCUUCAGCAGCGCGCUUUCGACGCGGCAGCCCCGGUCCGUGCAGCGUAUACUCGGAGAGAACAGCAUCCUGGACCUCCAUGGUGCCGACCACCGGCGCGUCCGCGGUGCUCUGCUCGAGUUCCUCAGGCCCGACAUGCUCAAGAUGUACGUGGGCGGGAUCGACGCCGAGGUGCGGCGCCACGUCGGGGAGAACUGGGCCGGCCGCGGGACCGUGACGGUGCUGCCGCUGAUGAAGCGGCUGACGUUCGACAUCAUCUCCGCGCUGCUCUUUGGCCUGGAGAGGGGCGCCGUGCGGGACGCGCUGGCCGGCGACUUCGCGCACAUGAUGAAGGGCAUGUGGGCCAUCCCGGUGAACCUGCCGUUCACGGCGUUCAGCCGGAGCCUCAAGGCCAGCGGCAGAGCCCGUCGGGUGCUGGCGGGGAUCACGCGGGAGAAGAAGGCCAGCCGGUGCCAGCCGGAGCACGGCAAGGCGCAGCGGAGCAACGACCUCAUAACCUGCCUGCUCGGCCUGACGGACGGCCAUGGCGAGCGGCUGCUGAGCGACGAGGAGAUCGUGGACAACGCCAUGGUUGCCCUCAUCGCCGGCCACGACACGUCGUCCAUCCUGAUGACGUUCAUGGUCCGCCACCUCGCCAACGAUGACGCCACCCUGGCCGCCAUGGUCCAAGAGCAUGAGGAGAUCGCCAUGAACAAAGGCGACGGAGAGGCUCUCACCUGGGAAGAUCUGACGAAGAUGAAGCUCACAUGGCGAGUCGCGCAGGAGAUCCUACGAGUCGUCCCUCCGAUCUUCGGCAGCUUCAGAAGAGCGCUGGAGGACGUCGAGUUCGACGGCUACCUCAUCCCAAAAGGAUGGCAGGUGUUCUGGACGGCGAACGUGACGCACAUGGACGCGAGCAUCUUCCACGAGCCGGCGAGGUUCGACCCGUCCCGGUUCGAGAACCAGGCCGCGUCGGCGGCGCCGCCGUGCUCCUUCGUCGCCUUCGGGGGCGGCCCGAGGAUAUGCCCCGGGAUAGACUUCUCCCGGAUCGAGACGCUGGUGACGAUGCACCACCUGGUGAGGCAGUUCAGAUGGAAGCUCUGCUGCAAGGAGAACACCUUCGUGAGGGACCCCAUGCCGUCGCCGCUGCGUGGCCUGCCCAUCCAAAUCGAGCACAGGACCUCCCCUCCGCCGUGA